UAUGGAAAAGGCUCUGGCCUGGCA
Molecule: non-coding RNA, 24 nt
Filed under: Mus musculus (house mouse)
Lineage: Eukaryota; Metazoa; Chordata; Mammalia; Rodentia; Muridae
Source: RNAcentral